Molecule: ribosomal RNA, 492 nt
Filed under: uncultured bacterium
Lineage: Bacteria
Description: partial 16S ribosomal RNA
Rfam family: Bacterial small subunit ribosomal RNA
Source: RNAcentral
AGUGAACGCUGGCGGUAGGCCUAACACAUGCAAGUCGAACGGCAGCACAGUAAGAGCUUGCUCUUACGGGUGGCGAGUGGCGGACGGGUGAGGAAUACAUCGUAAUCUACUUUUUCGUGGGGGAUAACGUAGGGAAACUUAAGCUAAUACCGCAUACGACCUACGGGUGAAAGGAGUGGAUCUUCUGACCUUGCGCGAUUGAAUGAGCCGAUGUGGGAUUAGCUAGUUGGCGGGCUAAAGGCCCACCAAGGCGCCGAUCCGUAGCUGGACUGAGAGGAUGGUCGCCCGCACGGGAACGGAGACGCCGUCCAGACGACUACGAGAGGCAGCAGUGUGGAAUAUGGGGCAAUGGGCGCAAGCAUGGCCCAGCCAGACCGAGUGGGUGAAGGAGGCGUUCGGGUUGUAAUGCCCUCUUGUUGGGUAAGAAAAGCAGCAGGUUAAUACCACGCUGUUCUGACGGUACCCGGUGAAGAAGCACCGGCUAACUUCGUG